RNAcentral lists this transfer RNA (77 nucleotides) under Cosmarium quadratum. Its description in RNAcentral is "tRNA-Gly". It matches the Rfam family "tRNA". Rfam says of the family: Transfer RNA (tRNA) molecules are approximately 80 nucleotides in length. Lineage: Eukaryota; Viridiplantae; Streptophyta; Zygnematophyceae; Desmidiales; Desmidiaceae. The record is from RNAcentral.
UGGGGGUAUAGCUCAGUUGGUAGAGCGCCGCUACCCUAUGGCGGAUGUCAGCGGUUCGAGUCCGCUUACCUCCAGCC